GGGCGCUUAGCUCAGUUGGUAGAGCGUCUGCCUUACAAGCAGAAUGUCGGCGGUUCGAUCCCGUCAGCGCCCCCCA
This 76-nucleotide transfer RNA is filed under the name Acinetobacter baumannii. RNAcentral describes it as "tRNA-Val". It matches the Rfam family "tRNA". Rfam says of the family: Transfer RNA (tRNA) molecules are approximately 80 nucleotides in length. Their secondary structure includes four short double-helical elements and three loops (D, anti-codon, and T loops). Further hydrogen bonds mediate the characteristic L-shaped molecular structure. tRNAs have two regions of fundamental functional importance: the anti-codon, which is responsible for specific mRNA codon recognition, and the 3' end, to which the tRNAs corresponding amino acid is attached (by aminoacyl-tRNA synthetases). tRNAs cope with the degeneracy of the genetic code in two manners: having more than one tRNA (with a specific anti-codon) for a particular amino acid; and 'wobble' base-pairing, i.e. permitting non-standard base-pairing at the 3rd anti-codon position. The record is from RNAcentral. Lineage: Bacteria; Pseudomonadati; Pseudomonadota; Gammaproteobacteria; Moraxellales; Moraxellaceae.